AAAAAAUUCCCUCCCAACAUUUCAUUCAUCCCAGUGAAGCAUUUUGAUUGGGGGAACUCAGCUAAUGUUUUUUUUCCUCCUCAAAACAGGUCAACUUUGAGAUAUAAACCAUCACAUUGGAACUGAAAUUCAAACAGAAAUGUUUAGAAAACGUGGGAUUACAUAUCCAUAUAUUUGGGAGUUUAACGAGAUUGUGGAUGGAAAGAAAGCACCCAGGCUAUUUAUAAUUCAAUUAGGCUUAGAUUUAGGAGUAGUUCUGGCUCUGUGUAAACUGCAUCUCUUUUUCAUUUGGAACGAUCUCCUUCCUCCAUCACAGCCCCUUUUCCUGGGAAUAUAUGGCUGCAGCUGGGAAUAUAUGGCUCUAAUAGAGCUGCACUGACUGGAGCUCUACUGUGCCAGCUAACUGCUGUAUUUUUCUUCCCCAAGGCUCUCCGGGCGUGUUCACAAGGGAAUAUUGACGUUUGGGACCAAGGGAUGGAAAACUGGGCUGUGAGCUGCUGGAGCUGUUAUCAAGGAUAUUUAUCCCAGCAACUUUCCCCUGCAGGACUUCUCAAGGUUGUCCUUCUUUUUCUCCAUUCCCACUGUUCCCUCUGCUCCACGAAGUUGCCUGGGGCCUGCCAAGGUGCCAGGCACAGAUCCAUCCCUCUGGAGUGCCCCAGCUGAGCAGGAAGAGUGGUGUGGAGGCAGCAGAUUCCUUUGGGAUCGCUGGGAUUUGGCUCAGCCCCGCGUGGCUGUGCCAGCCCAGCUGCACAGAGGCUGCAUCUGCAGGGAUCUCACAUCUGGGAUAACCUGGCUCAGGAAUCAGGCAGCCCAUGUGGGGAGCAGCAGGGAGGAAAAUCAGACCUGGAGCCCAUUCAAAGGCAGAAACAGCACGCUGCCCUCCCCAGGGAUCCCUCAGAGGCUGCUGGAUGUGCCAGUGGAGCUGGAAGGAGCCCAUCAUCCCAAGGGUGGCUCUGCAGCUGCUCUCCUGCUGUCCCCUUUGGUGUGACAGUGACGUGGGGACAGGGCACAGACCUGGCAUGGAGGCUGCGCCCCAAAACCCUCUCUGAGGUGAGCUGCUGUUUAAAGCUGUCUCCCUCAAAGUCAGCCAUCUGUGCUGUUUUCUCUGGGAGUGAUAAACACUUAAGGGUCACCUGCUUUCUUUAAUCUCCUCUGGCUCGUAUUCAUCUGAGCCGCACAUCAUAUUAAUUAUGUUCCUUUUAUUCCUGCCCAUGCCAGCACAGAGGGAUCAUUACUGCUGCUGCUUCCUCUUUUUAUUGUCUGGAUGCUCGCAGUCACGAGCUCUGGAAUGCUGGACCACGAGAGGACACUUUGCUGAUCACCUUCCUUCAUUAAGAAAACUUAAUUUUAGUGCUGAUGGGAAAUUGGAUUAAAGAAAAUAAACCACCCAAAAACAGCCA
This 1400-nucleotide long non-coding RNA is filed under the name Junco hyemalis (dark-eyed junco). Its description in RNAcentral is "lncRNA (ENSJHYG00000016954.1)". The record is from RNAcentral. Lineage: Eukaryota; Metazoa; Chordata; Aves; Passeriformes; Passerellidae.